This 2625-nucleotide long non-coding RNA is filed under the name Scophthalmus maximus (turbot). Its description in RNAcentral is "lncRNA (ENSSMAG00000021985.1)". Lineage: Eukaryota; Metazoa; Chordata; Actinopteri; Pleuronectiformes; Scophthalmidae. The record is from RNAcentral.
AUGUAUUUGACAACAGAUGAAUAAAUGGCACAUUGUGAGGAAUUCAGUGUGUUUACAGAAAAAGUUGAAAUAUGUUUUCUGUCUUCUCAUUGCCUCUUACUAGGUUUUGGAGGCCGUGGUGUUCUCCCUGAAGUGGCCACAGGAUCUGGACUUGGGCCUCAGACUGGGGCAGGAGUACUCGGCCAAGGUGGAGCUGGACCAGGAGGAGCAGGAAAUGGCCGUGGACAGCAAUUGCCAGGGGUUUUCCGUGGUUACCCUCUCAUAUCACCAAAAUCAGGGAGUGGCAAAACAAAGAAUCCAGCCAAAGCUGCAGCUAAAUAUGGUGGAGCUGGAGCUGGAGGAGGAACGCUUGGUCAAGGAAGCGCUUUGGGGGGUGGGGCUGGAAGACUCCCUGGAGGAGGGGCAGGAAUCACACCUGGAUUAGGAGGCGGAGUUGGAACAGGAGGUGGACCUGGAGGAGCCAUACCUGGUUUAGGUUAUGGUCCUGGCUCAGCCAAAGCACGUAAAUAUGGUCAGACAGGCCUUGGAGGAGGAGGACCAGGUGGAGGACUGGGGCCUGGCUCAGGCAUUGGGACAGGUGUAGCAGGGGGCGGCUAUGGUUAUGGUCCAGGCAGUGCAGGCACAGGCUCAGCUGGAGGCCUUGGAGGCGGAGGACCAGGAGGAGGAGUUGGCCUCGGCACAGGUGUGGCACCUGGCUCUGGGGUCGGUUUUGGUCCAGGCGGUGCCGGCACUGGGUCAGGUGGCCUUGGUCCUGGUGGUGCUGGUACUGGGUCAGGUGGCCUUGGUCCUGGUGGUGCUGGUGGUGCUGGUACUGGCCCUGGAGGAGCUGGUUACGGGCCUGGUAGAACUGGGUAUGGACCAGGUGGCACUGGAGCUGGAUUGGGAGGAGCCGGAACAGGACCUGGAGGGUAUGACGCGAGUGCCAAAGCUCGUAAAUAUGGCAUGCUAAGUGGAGCACUUGGAGGUUUAGGCACUGGUGGAGUCAGGCCUGGAGGUACUGGCACUGGUUAUGGACCAGGUGGUGCUGGUACAGGCUAUGGACAAGGUGGUGUCGGACCUGGUGGUGCUGGCUAUGGACCCGGCGGUGCUGGAACAGGCUAUGGACAAGGUGGUGUCGGACCUGGAGGUGCUGCUACAGGCUAUGGACAAGGUGGUGUCGGACCUGGUGGUGCUGGUGCAGGUAAUGGACAAGGAGGUGUCAGACCUGGUGGUGCUGGAACAGGCUAUGGACAAGGUGGUGUCGGACCUGGCGGUGCUGGUACCGGUUAUGGACCAGGUGGUGCUAGUACUGGUUAUGGACCAGGUGGUGCUGGAACAGGUUAUGGACAAGGUGGAGUUGGACCUGUUGGUGCUGGAUAUGGACCUGGUGGAGGAGUUGGACCUGGUGGUGCUGGCUAUGGACCUGGAGGUUAUGCUGGUGCCAAAGCUCGUAAAUAUGGUCUGCCUGGAGGAGUUGGAGGAGCCCUGGGUGCAGGAGGACUUGGUGGUGGAGUCGGGCCUGGUUCUGGGCUCGGAGUAGGAGGAGGGGUCCCGGGAAGAGGUGUUGGACUAACAACUGGUGGUGGACCUGGAGCAGGACUGGGGACCGGUGCGAUACCUGGGUCAGGUGUUGGAACGGGUGGUGGACCUGGUGGCUUUGGACUAGGUAGUGCUGGAGGAUAUCCGGGGGGAGCCAAGUCUCUCAAAUACGGGCUUCCUGGUGGUGGUGGAGCCCCAGGAUCUGGUCUGAACGUAAUAUUUGGUGGCCCAGCAGCAGGAGGAGGAUAUGGCCCUGGGACCGGAGGAGCACUCGGAACUGGAAGAGCAGGAUAUGGACCUGGUGGAUAUGGACCUGGCGGAUAUGGGCCUGUGCCUGGUGCUGGUUACGGACCAGGGGGAGGCUAUGGUGCAGUACCAGGAGCUGGAUAUGGAACAGGCUAUGGAGCUGGAUCAAAAGCUGCUAAAUAUGGUCAAGCUGGAACCACUGGUGGGGUACUUGGAGGUGGAGUGGGACGAGAGGGCCAACCUGGUGGUGUUGCACCUGGGGCAGGAGCCGGGACAGGCACUGGAGGAGCAGGGGCAGGAUCAGGGACCGGCACUGGAGGUGCAGGUGCAGGGACCAGCACUGGAGGAGCAGGUGCAGGGACCGGGACAGGUACUGGAGGAGCAGGUGCAGGGACCGGCACUGGUGUUGGUACAGUGAAUGGAACCAGCACUGGCAGGGGUGCAGUGACGACAGCUGGACCCACUGGGGGAGGACUUGGCAGCGCAGGAGGCACACCAGCUCCAGCAUCAGAAGGUGAUGGUGGAGCUGGCAGCGUGAUAGAAGGUUCUGGAAGUUCUGGAGGAGAAGGAGGUGCAGGUGUAGCCGGCAGACCAGUGGGAGCAGGUGCUGAUGGAGACGGCCUGAGUGGAACAGGGAUCCCCAUCAUUGCAGCAAAACCAGGAGUCAAUGGGACCGAAGUUCCAGGUUCUAGUGAAGAUGUCUCAGGUGGUUCACUGCCUGGAGCUAAACCUCUCAAACCCCCAGGUGUCCCCAGAGGUGACACACCCGGUGAAGGAGAUGGAGAGGAAGGCCCCGAUGGAGAGGAGACAGUCCUGCAACUGGAACUGGAGUUGGAGCACAGAGUGCAACUGGUGGAGUAG